GGCUCAGGAUGAACGCGGGCGGCGUGCCUAAUACAUGCAAGUCGAACGAGGUGCUUUGUAGCAAUACGAGGUAUCCUAGUGGCGAACGGGUGAGUAACGCGUUGGUGACCUACCCCAAAGUGUGGGAUAACAGUCCGAAAGGAUUGCUAAUACCGCAUGUGGUCUUCGGAUUUAGAAACUGAUGACUAAAGGAGCAAUUCGCUUUGGGAGGGACCUGCGUCCCAUCAGCUAGUUGGUGAGGUAAUGGCUCACCAAGGCGACGACGGGUAGGGGACCUGAGAGGGUGGCCCCCCACAAUGGAACUGAAACACGGUCCAUACACCUACGGGUGGCAGCAGUAGGGAAUAUUGCUCAAUGGGCGAAAGCCUGAAGCAGCAACGCCGCGUGUGCGAUGAAGGCCUUCGGGUCGUAAAGCACUUUUCUGCGAGAUGAGAAAGGACAGUAUCGUAGGAAUAAGUCUCGGCUAACUACGUGCCAGCAGCCGCGGUAAAACGUAGGAUGCAAGCGUUAUCCGGAUUCACUGGGCGUAAAGCGCGUGCAGGUGGUUCGGUAAGUUGGGCGUGAAAUCUCCCGGCUCAACUGGGAGAGGUCGUUCAAUACUACCGAACUUGAGAGCAGAAGAGGAAGAUGGAAUUCCCGGUGUAGUGGUGAAAUGCGUAGAUAUCGGGAGGAACACCAGUGGCGAAGGCGAUCUUCUGGUCUGUUUCUGACACUCAUACGCGACAGCUAGGGUAGUAAACGGGAUUAGAGACCCCGGUAAUCCUAGCCGUAAACGAUGUGAACUUGGCGUUGGUGGGUUAAACUCCAUCAGUGCCGCAGCAAACGCGAUAAGUUCACCGCCUGGGGACUACGGCCGCAAGGUUAAAACUCAAAU
RNAcentral lists this ribosomal RNA (874 nucleotides) under uncultured bacterium. Its description in RNAcentral is "bacterial SSU rRNA". It matches the Rfam family "Bacterial small subunit ribosomal RNA", at positions 21 to 906 of the family's 1533-position model. The record is from RNAcentral.